GGAAAAGGCAUAAAAUUUCCAAGUGCCAAAAAUACGAAGGGUCCUCAAAGCUGAAGCUGUGAAGAUGUCGGUCCUCGGUAAUCACAGGGAACUUGCAGGUGUGUGUAUACUCAGGGUCUGCGGCGUUCAGUCCUCCUUGAGGAGCGCGUUGAAUGCACAGAGCUCCGUGAAGAAAGCCAGUAAUGGCCGAGCUCUCCCUGCAUCAGAUGAUAUUCAGGAAAGCAUUAUGUUAUCAGGGAAAAACAAAUAAAAAUUCUACCUUGAACCUUAGUUAGAAACUGCCAGAGGAGCACAUCUCCCAGAAGAGGCACCUUGCUCUGAUUUGCACAAAGGUGCUACAUUAGCUGGAAGUGAUUUUGUGGGUAGACGCUAAAUCACGCAGAGCCUCAUAAGCCAGUUUAGGGAACGCUGGCUUCAUUCUAAGGACGAGAGCAUAUUAAAUUUUUUAAGGAGGUAGGGUGACAUGGUCAGGUUUGUAACAUGGAAAAUAACACCUUGAAAUGUGUAUAUUAAAUAUGAGUAGAGCUCAAGGAAUACAUAAGUCGAAUACUUCAGAGGCUAUUGCAGUAAUCCAGGUGUAAAAGGUAAGGAGCAUGGAUAGUGUAAUUGUGGUUGAAUGUAGAAAAGGGAAGCACAACUAAUAUUAAGGAGAUAAAGGGACUCAACGUUACUAAAGAUUUGGAUAUAAUGAGACAAUCGAAAAAAAGAGACAUCCAAGAUUGCUCUAAGGAUUCUGGAAUGUGAUGACGUUCAAUGAGGUGUGAAAACUGGAAGAUCAGUUUGGAGGAGAAGGCUCUGAGUUCAGUCCUGUACACGAUGAUUUUAAGAUGGCUUUAAGCCAUCCAAGAGAAAGAAUCCAGUGAACAGCUGGAGAUAUGGACUUGAGCAUAAGUUAAAAAUGUGCUGGCAGCUAUCUUCUGACCAAGAGCAAGGUCGAAAUCAAGGGCAAAAGGAGCGAAAUGCUGUGCAGCAGAGAAAUGGAAUCAGAGUCCUGACAGCAUCAGGCCAGGACCCCAUCCUACGUCUAGACUUCCUGCUCUAAAUUCUAAGUGCCCAAGUGGAUCCAUGGAUGCACAGAUGAAUCAGAUAUGAAUCCUGCAUUCAAGGGACUCAGGCCAGAGACAGACAAAGUUAAGACAAAUGAAGAAAUAAUUUGAUAUUAAGUGAAAAUUACCAGUCCCAAAGAAGAACAGAAAAAGUAGCAGAUGAGAAGUGAGGAGGGGGAAACAUUUGCAGCUUGGAAAAGCAUUAAACGUAUUAGAUGAUACUGGGACUAAUUUUAUUUUAUCAUUAUAAAAAGGUGAAGUUACUCUGCAUAUGUAAGCUAAGACCAAAAAAGAUUGAGUGAUUUAUUUUUAAGAUGGGUGAAUACUAAUUGCUAAAGAGAUGUGUCAGAAAAUUGACUUUUUGAAUUGCUGUUUAAAUAAAG
RNAcentral lists this long non-coding RNA (1429 nucleotides) under Equus caballus (horse). RNAcentral describes it as "lncRNA (ENSECAG00000049449.1)". Lineage: Eukaryota; Metazoa; Chordata; Mammalia; Perissodactyla; Equidae. The record is from RNAcentral.